AACGAACGCUGGCGGCGUGCUUAACACAUGCAAGUCGAACGCGAAAGGGACUACGGUCCUGAGUAAAGUGGCGGCACGGGUGAGUAACGCGUAGAUAACCUGUCUUCAUGUCUGGAAUAAUACGCCGAAAGGGGUACUAAUACCGGAUAUUCUUGCUUUUCAUAAGUUAUGCAAGCAAAGGUGGCCUCUGCAUAUGCUACUGCAUGAAGAGGGGUCUGCGUACCAUUAGCUAGUAGGUGGGGUAAUGGCCUACCUAGGCGACGAUGGUUAGCGGGUCUGAGAGGAUGAUCCGCCACACUGGCACUGGAACACGGGCCAGACUCCUACGGGAGGCAGUAGUGAGGAAUAUUGCGCAAUGGGGGAAACCCUGACGCAGCGACGCCGCGUGAGUGAGGAAGGCCUUCGGGUCGUAAAGCUCUGUCAAGAGGAAAGAAGUGUACAAUGGCUAAUACCUGUUGUAUUUGACGGUACCUCUAAAGGAAGCACCGGCUAACUCCGUGCCAGCAGCCGC
RNAcentral lists this ribosomal RNA (511 nucleotides) under uncultured bacterium. RNAcentral's name for it is "bacterial SSU rRNA". It matches the Rfam family "Bacterial small subunit ribosomal RNA", at positions 29 to 518 of the family's 1533-position model. The record is from RNAcentral.